AGUGAACGCUGGCGGUAGGCCUAACACAUGCAAGUCGAACGGCAGCACAGUCAGAGCUUGCUCUUACGGGUGGCGAGUGGCGGACGGGUGAGGAAUACAUCGGAAUCUACUUUUUCGUGGGGGAUAACGUAGGGAAACUUACGCUAAUACCGCAUACGACCUACGGGUGAAAGCAGGGGAUCUUCGGACCUUGCGCGAUUGAAUGAGCCGAUGUCGGAUUAGCUAGUUGGCGGGGUAAAGGCCCACCAAGGCGACGAUCCGUAGCUGGUCUGAGAGGAUGAUCAGCCACACGGGAAAUGAGCGACGGCCCAGACUCCUACGGGAGGGAGCGGAGGGGAGUAUUAGACAAUGGGCGGAAGCAUGAUCCAACCAUGCCGCGUGGGUGAAGAAGGCCUUCGGUUUGGAAAUCCCUUUUGUUGGGAAAGAAAAGCAGCAGGUGAAUACCCCGCUGUUCUGACGGUACCAAAAGAAUAAGCACCGGCUAACUUCGUG
Molecule: ribosomal RNA, 492 nt
Filed under: uncultured bacterium
Lineage: Bacteria
Description: partial 16S ribosomal RNA
Rfam family: Bacterial small subunit ribosomal RNA
Source: RNAcentral